RNAcentral lists this ribosomal RNA (489 nucleotides) under uncultured bacterium. Its description in RNAcentral is "partial 16S ribosomal RNA". It matches the Rfam family "Bacterial small subunit ribosomal RNA", at positions 30 to 507 of the family's 1533-position model. The record is from RNAcentral.
UUGAACGCUGGCGGCAGGCCUCACACAUGCCAGUCGAACGGUAACAGGAAGCAGCUUGCUGCUUCGCUGACGAGUGGCGGACGGGUGAGUAAUGUCUGGGAAGCUGCCUGAUGGAGGGGGAUAACUACUGGAAACGGUAGCUAAUACCGCAUAAUGUCGCAAGACCAAAGAGGGGGACCUUCGGGCCUCUUGCCAUCGGAUGUGCCCAGAUGGGAUUAGCUUGUUGGUGGGGUAACGGCUCACCAAGGCGACGAUCCCUAGCUGGUCUGAGAGGAUGACCAGCCACACUGGGACUGAGACACGGUCCAGACUCCUACGGGAGGCAGCAGUGGGGAAUAUUGCACAAUGGGCGCAAGCCUGAUGCAGCCAUGCCGCGUGUAUGAAGAAGGCCUUCGGGUUGUAAAGUACUUUCAGCGGAGAGGAAGGGAGUAAAGUUAAUACCUUUGCUCAUUGACGUUACCCGCAGAAGAAGCACCGGCUAACUCCGUG